Molecule: ribosomal RNA, 1452 nt
Filed under: Salmonella enterica
Lineage: Bacteria; Pseudomonadati; Pseudomonadota; Gammaproteobacteria; Enterobacterales; Enterobacteriaceae
Description: partial 23S ribosomal RNA
Rfam family: Bacterial large subunit ribosomal RNA
Source: RNAcentral
GGUUUAAGCGUGUAGGUGUGUGUUCCAGGUAAAUCCGGUUCACUUUAACACUGAGGCGUGACGACGAGGCACUACGGUGCUGAAGCAACAAAUGCCCUGCUUCCAGGAAAAGCCUCUAAGCAUCAGGUAACAUCAAAUCGUACCCCAAACCGACACAGGUGGUCAGGUAGAGAAUACCAAGGCGCUUGAGAGAACUCGGGUGAAGGAACUAGGCAAAAUGGUGCCGUAACUUCGGGAGAAGGCACGCUGACACGUAGGUGAAGUGAUUUACUCAUGGAGCUGAAGUCAGUCGAAGAUACCAGCUGGCUGCAACUGUUUAUUAAAAACACAGCACUGUGCAAACACGAAAGUGGACGUAUACGGUGUGACGCCUGCCCGGUGCCGGAAGGUUAAUUGAUGGGGUCAGCGCAAGCGAAGCUCCUGAUCGAAGCCCCGGUAAACGGCGGCCGUAACUAUAACGGUCCUAAGGUAGCGAAAUUCCUUGUCGGGUAAGUUCCGACCUGCACGAAUGGCGUAAUGAUGGCCAGGCUGUCUCCACCCGAGACUCAGUGAAAUUGAACUCGCUGUGAAGAUGCAGUGUACCCGCGGCAAGACGGAAAGACCCCGUGAACCUUUACUAUAGCUUGACACUGAACAUUGAGCCUUGAUGUGUAGGAUAGGUGGGAGGCUUUGAAGUGUGGACGCCAGUCUGCAUGGAGCCGACCUUGAAAUACCACCCUUUAAUGUUUGAUGUUCUAACGUGGACCCGUUACCCGGGUUGCGGACAGUGUCUGGUGGGUAGUUUGACUGGGGCGGUCUCCUCCUAAAGAGUAACGGAGGAGCACGAAGGUUGGCUAAUCCUGGUCGGACAUCAGGAGGUUAGUGCAAUGGCAUAAGCCAGCUUGACUGCGAGCGUGACGGCGCGAGCAGGUGCGAAAGCAGGUCAUAGUGAUCCGGUGGUUCUGAAUGGAAGGGCCAUCGCUCAACGGAUAAAAGGUACUCCGGGGAUAACAGGCUGAUACCGCCCAAGAGUUCAUAUCGACGGCGGUGUUUGGCACCUCGAUGUCGGCUCAUCACAUCCUGGGGCUGAAGUAGGUCCCAAGGGUAUGGCUGUUCGCCAUUUAAAGUGGUACGCGAGCUGGGUUUAGAACGUCGUGAGACAGUUCGGUCCCUAUCUGCCGUGGGCGCUGGAGAACUGAGGGGGGCUGCUCCUAGUACGAGAGGACCGGAGUGGACGCAUCACUGGUGUUCGGGUUGUCAUGCCAAUGGCACUGCCCGGUAGCUAAAUGCGGAAGAGAUAAGUGCUGAAAGCAUCUAAGCACGAAACUUGCCCCGAGAUGAGUUCUCCCUGAGACUUUAGGUCUCCUGAAGGAACGUUGAAGACGACGACGUUGAUAGGCCGGGUGUGUAAGCGCAGCGAUGCGUUGAGCUAACCGGUACUAAUGAACCGUGAGGCUUAACCUUACAACGCCG